AACGAACGCUGGUGGCAUGCCUAACACAUGCAAGUCGAACGAGAUCUUCGGGUCUAGUGGCGCACGGGUGCGUAACGCGUGGGAAUCUGCCCUUUGGUUCGGAAUAACAGUUGGAAACGACUGCUAAUACCGGAUGAUGAUGAAAGUCCAAAGAUUUAUCGCCAGAGGAUGAGCCCGCGUAGGAUUAGCUAGUUGGUGUGGUAAAGGCGCACCAAGGCGACGAUCCUUAGCUGGUCUGAGAGGAUGAUCAGCCACACUGGGACUGAGACACGGCCCAGACUCCUACGGGAGGCAGCAGUGGGGAAUAUUGGACAAUGGGCGAAAGCCUGAUCCAGCAAUGCCGCGUGAGUGAUGAAGGCCUUAGGGUUGUAAAGCUCUGUUACCCGGGAUGAUAAUGACAGUACCGGGAGAAUAAGCUCCGGCUAACUCCGUGCCAGCCGCCGCCGUAA
Molecule: ribosomal RNA, 449 nt
Filed under: uncultured bacterium
Lineage: Bacteria
Description: partial 16S ribosomal RNA
Rfam family: Bacterial small subunit ribosomal RNA
Source: RNAcentral